Molecule: ribosomal RNA, 126 nt
Filed under: Diaphorina citri (Asian citrus psyllid)
Lineage: Eukaryota; Metazoa; Arthropoda; Insecta; Hemiptera; Psyllidae
Source: RNAcentral
GCCAACGUUCAUAUCACGUUGAAUACACCAGUUCUCGUCCGAUCACUGAAGUUAAGCAACGUUGAGCGUGGAUAGUACUUGAUACACCAGUUCUCGUCCGAUCACUGAAGUUAAGCAACGUUGAGC